GAUGAAGAACGCAGCGAAAUGCGAUAAGUAAUGUGAAUUGCAGAAUCCAGUGAAUCAUCGAAUCUUUGAACGCACAUUGCGCCCGCCAGCAUUCUGGCGGGCAUGCCUGUUCGAGCGUCAUUUCAACCCUCGACCUCCCUUUGGGAAGUCGGCGUUGGGGACCGGCAGCACACCGCCGGCCCUGAAAUGGAGUGGCGGCCCGUCCGCGGCGACCUCUGCGUAGUAAACCAACUCGCACCGGAACCCCGACGUGGCCACGCCGUAAAACACCCAACUUCUGAACGUUGACCUCGAAUCAGGUAGGACUACCCGCUGAACUUAAGCAUAUCAAUAAGCGGAGGA
Molecule: unclassified non-coding RNA, 342 nt
Filed under: soil metagenome
Description: partial contains 5.8S ribosomal RNA, internal transcribed spacer 2, and large subunit ribosomal RNA
Rfam family: 5.8S ribosomal RNA (bases 1-120)
Source: RNAcentral